Bos taurus (domestic cattle) is the source of this 747-nucleotide long non-coding RNA. Lineage: Eukaryota; Metazoa; Chordata; Mammalia; Artiodactyla; Bovidae. The record is from Ensembl.
GGAAAAACCUGAAAUGAAACCCAGGUUUCUGGCUUGGAGAACUGAGUGAUUGACAGUGACCUUAACUGCAAUUGCCAAUAGAAGAGUUUUGAGCAUGCUGAAUAAGAAACGUCAUUGACCACUGGAAACAUAAGGCAGAAAGCAUAUCCAAUUCAUUUGUGUAUCACCAUGCCAUUGGGAAAGACCCUGAUGCUGGGAAAGAUUCAGGGCAAGAGAAGAAGGGGGCGACAGAGGAUGAGAUGGUUGGAUGGCAUCACUGACCCAAUGGACAAUGAAUCUGAGCAAACUCAGGGAGAUAGCGAAGCACAGGAAAGCCUGGCAUGCUGCAGUUCAUAGGGUCUCAAAGAGACACAACUUAGCAACUGAGCAACAACAACAAUGCCUGGAAUAAAACAGUCCUUCAGUAAAUACUUGGUCCAGCAGGCCUAGCUUUCUGAUCUUGGCGGGAGUGCAUGUACGCAUGCUCAGUUAUGUCCGACUCUGCAACCCCAUGGACCAGGCUCCUCUGUGUCCAUGGAAUUUUCCAGGCAACAAUACUGAAGUGGGUUGCCAUUUCCUCCUCCAGGGGAUCUUCCUGACCCAGAGAUCAAACUUGCGUGCCCUCCGUCUCCUGCCUUGCCAGUCGUAUUCUUACCACUGCACUGCACCACCGGGAAGUUUGGGGAAGUCACUGAAUCUUGCCAGCCUCAGUUUCCUCAUCUGCAAAUGGUGAUUAUGAUAUUCUGUAGUUGUAGGACUGCUGAGAGG